Molecule: RNA transcript, 3316 nt
Organism: Setaria italica (foxtail millet)
Lineage: Eukaryota; Viridiplantae; Streptophyta; Magnoliopsida; Poales; Poaceae
Gene name: pentatricopeptide repeat-containing protein At2g33680
Exons: 3
Source: RefSeq, a predicted model, not a curated record
AGCAACUUCUCGCCGCUUUUCUUUCGCGCCCGCGCCUCCCUGAACGCCGCCGCCCGCGCCUCCAUCCCUCCCCUGGCGGCGGAUCCAUGGAGACGAGCGAUGGCGCCGGUGGGGGAGGUCGGAGGAUACGGUGAGGGCCGGCAGCGGAUGCACGGCGACGCGUGGUGGCCCCAGUCAGGGCGGCGGCGGAUGCACAGCGACGGCGAGCCCCAUUGUCCAGUGCUUCUUUUGCUCUUGCUCCUGCUCACGCCAUGGCAGGCGCGGCGCCGCCCGCGCUGCGCAUGUCGCACACUCAAUUCAUCGAGCACCUCCGCCGCGCGGCCGCAUCCACCCGCGCCCCGCGCGCCGGCGAGGCCCUCCAUGGCUGGGCGGUCAAGUCCGGCGCCGCCUCCCACGCACCCGUCUCCAACUCCCUGAUCACCUUCUACUGCUCCCUCUCGCGGCCGCUCCUCGCGGCCGCCUUCGCCGUCUUCGAUGAUAUCCCCGCGGCCGCGCGCGACGUCGCCUCGUGGAACUCUCUUCUCAACCCGCUCUCCCGUCACCACCCCCUCGCCGCGCUCUCGCAGUUCCGCUUGAUGCUCUCUUCCUAUGACCGCGCCGUCCUCCCGACGCCACACUCCUUCGCCGCUGCGUUCACCGCCGCGGCCCGUGCGCCCUCCGCGUCUGCAGGCGCUGCAGCCCACGCGCUCGCGUGCAAGCUUCCCUCCGCCGCCACCGGCUCUGACAAUGUGUUCGUCUCUACUGCCCUGCUAAACAUGUAUUGUAAACUCGGUAUUACUUCCGAUGCCCGCAGUGUGUUUGACGGAAUGCCACAUCGGAAUGCGGUGUCUUGGACUGCUAUGGUGUCUGGGUAUGCUCUGGGGAAGUGUUCUGAGGAGGCGUUUGAGAUCUUCCAGCUGAUGCUUCAGGAGUGCCCCUUGGAGAAAAAUGAAUUUGUCACCACGGCGGUUCUUAGUGCAGUUAGCGUACCAUCAGGUUUGCUUAUGGGGGUGCAGGUGCACGGGUUGGUUGUGAAGGAUGGGUUGGUGGGAUUUAUGUCUGUGGAGAAUUCACUUGUCACAUUGUAUGCAAAAGCUGAGUGUAUGGAAGCAGCUCGGCAGGUGUUUGGGUCAUCGAAGGAGAGGAACUCAAUAACAUGGUCAGCGAUGAUCACUGGGUAUGCUCAGAAUGGGGAGGCAGAUAGUGCAGCUAGGAUGUUCUUACAGAUGCAUGCUGCAGGAUUCUCACCAACAGAAUUCACCUUUGUAGGGGUACUGAAUGCAUGCAGUGAUAUGGGAGCUUUGGCUGUUGGGAAGCAGGCACAUGGUUUGAUGAUGAAGCUUGGGUUUGAGAUGCAGGUUUAUGUGAAGAGCGCAUUGGUGGACAUGUAUGCCAAGUGUGGUUGUAUUGGUGAUGCAAAAGGCGGGUUUCAGCAGUUGUGUGAUGUUGAUGACGUUGUCCUUUGGACGGCGAUGAUUGCUGGGCAUGUGCAGAAUGGGGAGCUUGAGGAAGCACUGGUGUUGUAUGCCAAGAUGGACAAAGAGGGCAUCAUGCCCAGUAAUUUGACUAUCACUAGUGUUCUUAGAGCAUGUGCAUGCCUUGCAGCAUUGGAGCCAGGGAAGCAACUGCAUGCCCAAAUUAUUAAGUGUGGUUUUGGUUUGGGUGGUUCUGUUGGAAGUGCUCUGUCUACAAUGUAUUCAAAGUGUGGGAAUCUUGAAGAUGGCAUGGUUGUCUUCAGAAGCAUGCCUGAUAAGGAUGUUAUUGCAUGGAACUCAAUCAUUUCUGGUUUUUCACAAAAUGGGUGUGGCAAUGGUGCACUUGACCUGUUCGAGGAGAUGAAGCUAGAGGGCACUGCACCUGAUCAUAUAACAUUCAUUAAUGUAUUGUGUGCUUGUAGCCACAUGGGCUUAGUUGAUAGAGGUUGGUUUUAUUUUAGGGCAAUGACCAAAGAUUAUGAUUUAAUUCCUAGGCUUGAUCACUAUGCUUGCAUGGUUGAUAUUCUUAGCCGAGCAGGGCAGUUGAAAGAAGCAAAGGACUUCAUAGAGUCAAUAACUGUUGACCAUGGAACAUGCUUAUGGCGUAUAGUCCUAGGAGCAUGUCGCAGUUUACGGGAUUUCAAUGUUGGAGCAUAUGCAGGUGAAAAACUGAUGGAGUUAGGUUCUGAGGAUUCCUCUGCUUAUAUAUUGUUGUCAAACAUCUAUGCUGCCCAGAGCAAGUGGAUUGACGUUGAGCGGGUGAGACGUUUGAUGAGACUCCGAGGAGUUAGCAAGGAUCUAGGGUGUAGCUGGGUUGAACUUAAUUGCCAAGUUCAUGUGUUCGUUGUUGGGGAACAGCAGCAUCCUGAAGCAACAAAUAUAAAUGUGGAGUUGAUGAGGCUAGCCAAACACAUGAAGGAUGAAGGGUAUCAUCAAACUUGUAAAUUCCCCUUUGAUGAAGAACUGGAUGCACUUGGAGAAUCUCCUGAAGAAGAUCAACUGGAAUUGAUAUCAGCAGCUUAUAGUUGAGUUCCCAAGAGAUAAGGAAGUGUUGCAUCUUGCUGGUAGCAAGGAGCAACUGAUCAUUUCUCAAAGAGCCAACUUUGCUGGUACUACUAACACAUGGAGCCAAUGUUUUGUUGACUAGACUGUUGAAGUGCACACAUGCUAUCAGUCUGCCAGUCUGGACCCUUCAGCACUGUGGUCCUCCGCUUGCUCUGGGUGUAAUAAUCUGGAAGAGUUGGGCUCCUGGCAAGUGUAAAUUUUUCUUGUGGUUGGUUGCUCACAACAAAUGCUGGACGGCUGAUCGGCUUGCCAAGAGGGGUUUGCCUCACCCUGAACGAUGUCCCUUUUGCGACCAAGAGGAGGAGACUACAAAUCACCUGCUGUUGUCCUGUGUCUUUUCACGCCAGACAUGGUUCAGUAUUUUACAAGGACUCGGCCUGCAGGUAUUAGCCCCAGAACCUGAAGAAGGCUCCUUUGAUGAUUGGUGGGACAAGGUGAGCAGCAGGGUGGAUGGUCAGGUUAAACAGGGGCUCAAUUCAAUUAUAAUCUUGGUGGCCUGGUUGCUCUGGAAUCAUCGCAAUCGCUGCUUGUUUGACGGUCUGCAGCCUAACCUGAAUGGAAUUCUAUCUUUUAUUAGGGAGGAGCUGCAUAUGUGGGAUAUUGCUGGGGCUCGAGGAAUUGCUUACCUCCUCGCCCUGUUGCUAGAUGGAUAGGCUUAAGUCUUCUGGUCAAGUUGUUUUUUCAUAGUUAAGGGUAAUAGAGUUUGUGUUGUGGUUUCUCCAGGUUUUCCCCCUAAAACCUGUGUAUUGGUGACUGGGGUUCUACACCCUUCUUCUUCUUAAUAUAUAGAUGCACAA